Molecule: long non-coding RNA, 1499 nt
Organism: Patella vulgata (common limpet)
Lineage: Eukaryota; Metazoa; Mollusca; Gastropoda; Patellidae
Exons: 8
Source: RefSeq, a predicted model, not a curated record
UGCGCUGACUUUGGUUUCAUAUUUAACAUCUAAUGUAGAUUUCAUUGACAAGCCCAUAUUUGCCGUACCAGAAUAUAUGACAUUAUUUUCCGUUUUUUUCACCAUUUCUGCUAGAUUUCCGCCAUAUUGGGAUAUGGGUGCAUCAAAAUGGCUUGGGAGUGUUCUUAAUGGAUUCAGCGACCCUGAAAACUAUAAAAAUGACAUAUUACAAGGAUGGUUUGAUGAUAUUUGCACCCAACUAUAAGUCUCUGUGCUAUUUCGGCCGCCAUCUUGGAUUUUUGCCUCUCCUGAGAGUUGCCCACACUUUCCAGAUGUUGCAAACUGCACAAAUCCUAAGAACAGUCCCCCCUACCAGAAUCAAUUGUCAAACCUUCCUCCCCGGAAAUUGGUCACGGAUCUGGGAGUUCGACCCCUACUAAUUUAUAUGACUUAUUUUGUAAAUAUUGCAGUUAGUAUUUUGUUCUAUUUCCAUUAUUACUUUUAAUUUAUUGUAGGCAGUUUAGCUUCGUUAACAUUUUGACAUUUUACAGAUGGUUCGCGGUAAAGGCGCGAUAAUUCCAUAGAGCUAUAUAUAGAAAUUAGAGUCCGCACUGAUCACGUGACAGUGUGCCGACAUGGGGCCUUGUCCGCCAUGUUAGUUCCGGGGAGUUGACGCUGACGACCAUUAGAUCUUUUAAAUCAUGUUUUAUGAUCAAUAUGCCAGAAAGUUGCUGCUAUUUUGGCUGCUCAAAUACCCGGAAAAAGGGUAGUGGAAUAGCGUUUCAUAGAUUUCCACUAAAAAAAACCAAGAAGCUUCUGAACAGAUGGCUGUUAAACAUUAGACGAGACAAUUUCGUAACAGCAGAUAGGAUUAUUAGAUAUUAUCAUUCUUCAUGUAGAAUAAACAUACUAUUAGUCACUACGAAAUACCCAAGGGUUAUUCUCUAGACUGAAUCAAUGAUACUGAUAGGUCCUGAUCAGAUGAUAAUUAAAUUUAAAUGACAAGUUAUUGAUAGAGUCUAGGGCAGAGCCGGGCUAGUUGGAACGCAGGGUUAAUGAAUAGUUAAUUCUUAAAAGAAUUCUUCUGCUAGGAGCAAACCUGGUUGUCAUGUUUUGGUGAUUGGCAGAUUAGCACUUAUGAUCAUGGAAAAAUAUAUAUUAGAUUUAUUCUUUGGCCUUAAACUUUCUUAAGAUAUAAAGUUUGAUCAUCAGAUUAAUACCCAAGCAUUUAUUAUUGAAUGUUAUUGGAGCGCCUGUACUUGUACCAAACUGGAUUAUUAUUUUGCUUUUGGUGGUGAUGGGCAGAUCAACACUGUGCUUUUAUUAUUGACUGUUAUUGGAGCUCCUGUACUUUUUCAAACUGGAUUAUUAUUUUGUUUUUGGUGAUGGGCAGAUCAACACUAUGGUUUUCAAGGAAAGAUGUCUUAUUUCCAAUUUUAAAGAAUCUUGCUGAAAUCUUAAUGUUUUUCCUUCAACUUUAUUCUGGUUCCUUAUUGUAUCUAAAAUAAAUUAAGAAUGCA